CCUACGGGAGGCAGCAGUGAGGAAUAUUGGUCAAUGGACGAGAGUCUGAACCAGCCAAGUAGCGUGAAGGAUGACUGCCCUAUGGGUUGUAAACUUCUUUUAUAUGGGAAUAAAAUGUUCCACGUGUGGGAUUUUGUAUGUACCAUAUGAAUAAGGAUCGGCUAACUCCGUGCCAGCAGCCGCGGUAAGACGGAGGAUCCGAGCGUUAUCCGGAUUUAUUGGGUUUAAAGGGAGCGUAGGUGGAUUGUUAAGUCAGUUGUGAAAGUUUGCGGCUCAACCGUAAAAUUGCAGUUGAUACUGGCAGUCUUGAGUACAGUAGAGGUGGGCGGAAUUCGUGGUGUAGCGGUGAAAUGCUUAGAUAUCACGAAGAACUCCGAUUGCGAAGGCAGUUCACUGGACUGCAACUGACACUGAGGCUCGAAAGUGUGGGUAUCAAACAGGAUUAGAUACCCGUGUAGUC
RNAcentral lists this ribosomal RNA (460 nucleotides) under uncultured bacterium. Its description in RNAcentral is "partial 16S ribosomal RNA". It matches the Rfam family "Bacterial small subunit ribosomal RNA", at positions 338 to 795 of the family's 1533-position model. The record is from RNAcentral.